RNAcentral lists this long non-coding RNA (1787 nucleotides) under Aotus nancymaae (Ma's night monkey). Its description in RNAcentral is "lncRNA (ENSANAG00000038950.1)". The record is from RNAcentral. Lineage: Eukaryota; Metazoa; Chordata; Mammalia; Primates; Aotidae.
GUGGGUUUAUCUGGCACGCGGACGCCCAAUGAGAGCCAGAUAUUCGAAAAUGCAGAUUCCCAAGCCGCUCGGCAGCACCAUCAGCUAGGUCAGCGGCUGCUCCAUCUGGCCCCGCGUCGCGCAGGCUUCAGUAAGACGUGCCUGGCUUCAGGCAGAGGGGUGACUGUGAGUGUCUGUGAGCGUGUCUCUGUGUGUCUUUGAUGACUGUGUCUGCCAGUGUGUGUCUGUGUGAGACCAUGUGUAUGAGUGUGUGUGUGUGUGUGGCUGUGUGUAUAAGCAAAUGUCUCUGUGUGCCUGUGUGUGUCUGUAUGUGUCUGUGUAUCUGUAUGACUGUGUCAGUGUCUGUGUGAGAUCACGUGUAUGAGUGUGUAUUUCUGUGUGUGACUGUGUGUGAGCAAAUGCCUCUGUGUGCCUGUGUAUGUAUGUGUCUGACUGUAUCACCGUGUGUCUGUGUGUCUUUGAGUGUGUGUGCCAGUGUGUGUCUGUGUGCCUGUGUGUGUCUGUGUUGUGUGUCUCUGUGUGUCUGAAUGACCGUGUGUGUUUCUGAGUGUCUGUGUGUCUUUGAGUGUGUGUGUCUGUGUGCCUGUGUGUGUCUGUGUAAGUGUCUCUGUGUGCUCUGUGUGUGUGUCUGAAUGACCGUGUGUGUGUCUGUGUGUCUGUGUGUCUUUGAGUGUGUGUGUCUGUGUGCCUGCGAGUGUGUGUGUCUGUGUGCCUGCGAGUGUGUGUGUCUGUGUGCCUGCGAGUGUGUGUGCGUGUCCCUCCAUUUGCGUGUCUGGGCACCUGGGUCUGCAAUUGAGACCCCUGUCCUCACCCUGCAAUCUCCCUGCUGCCAAACCUCAAAGCUCCAGCACAUUCCUGGAGGAAGAGACCGUGUGGUGCCCCGCCCUCCCUUUGAAGCCCACCUGAUGGGGACACAGGGUCGCCCCCAUGAUCCCCGGGGGCCUCACCCCUGACCGCACGCCCUGUCCCGUCUCAGGAGGGUCUCACUGCUGCCCUUUCCCGGCUGUACUGAUGGCCCAAGGGCAUUAGGGAACGUCAGGACCCCUUCCCUCCGGGGUGCGGCGUCCCGGCCGCCUCGGCCCUCAGCACACCCGCCGCUAUGGGGUGGUGCUAAGCCAUCCCCCGGGUUGCUUAUGGGGUGGGAGGAGGAACUAAUCUGAAACCUUAAGUAUGGCUUUGAAACAAACUUGGCUCUCCGGAUGACAACUCCCUUGUUCCAGAUGGUUCCUGUGUGCGCCGCGUUCGUUAGCAUGCUAAUUUAUUCUGACUCAUUCCGGAGCUGGUGCGGGCUGGCGCACACCUCCAUGCCAGUGCGAGUGCCCGAGGCCCGAGAUUCCCAGCUGGAGCGGCCCCCUUCCCCUGGGGCUGUCACACACGCCGAGGGAAAUAAAGGGAAGGGAACGGUUGGGGAGGUGGCUUCAGUGGCAGCCCGGGCAGGCUAUAAUUUCAGCCCUAGCAGCGCUGACACUCACAGCAAGCUCCCGCUCGGUGACACAACCCUCUCGGAGCAGUGACACCCACUGAGGACACAGGGGCUGGGAGGUUGGGUGGAUUGCCCGAUGCAGCUGAAGUACCAGUCAGGUCCCCGCAAGGAACCCAGAGCAAGCACGGAGGACGAAGUGGCUCCCUCAAAGGCAGUGUCUGGGGCUGGUAGGAGGCUCCCUGGCACCUGCCUUGCCCUGGGGUGAACUCUGUGGCCGAGACAGCAGGGACCCAGGGCCACCCACACUCCACAGCAGGAGGGAUGGGAGCCGCCCGUCAGUGCCCUGCCACCUCCAUGUGCCCGC